RNAcentral lists this ribosomal RNA (427 nucleotides) under uncultured bacterium. RNAcentral describes it as "partial 16S ribosomal RNA". It matches the Rfam family "Bacterial small subunit ribosomal RNA", at positions 355 to 774 of the family's 1533-position model. The record is from RNAcentral.
UGGGGAAUAUUGGACAAUGGGCGAAAGCCUGAUCCAGCCAUGCCGCGUGUGUGAAGAAGGUCUUCGGAUUGUAAAGCACUUUAAGUUGGGAGGAAGGGCAUUAACCUAAUACGUUAGUGUUUUGACGUUACCGACAGAAUAAGCACCGGCUAACUCUGUGCCAGCAGCCGCGGUAAUACAGAGGGUGCAAGCGUUAAUCGGAAUUACUGGGCGUAAAGCGCGCGUAGGUGGUUUGUUUAGUUGGAUGUGAAAUCCCCGGGCUCAACCUGGGAACUGCAUUCAAAACUGACUGACUAGAGUAUGGUAGAGGGUGGUGGAAUUUCCUGUGUAGCGGUGAAAUGCGUAGAUAUAGGAAGGAACACCAGUGGCGAAGGCGACCACCUGGACUAAUACUGACACUGAGGUGCGAAAGCGUGGGGAGCAAACA